GGGUUGUGAGGUUAAGCGACUAAGCGUACACGGUGGAUGCCCUGGCAGUCAGAGGCGAUGAAGGACGUGCUAAUCUGCGAAAAGCGUCGGUAAGGUGAUAUGAACCGUUAUAACCGGCGAUGUCCGAAUGGGGAAACCCAGUGCAAUUCGUUGCACUAUCGUUAACUGAAUACAUAGGUUAACGAGGCGAACCGGGGGAACUGAAACAUCUAAGUACCCCGAGGAAAAGAAAUCAACCGAGAUUCCCCAGUAGCGGCGAGCGAACGGGGAGCAGCCCAGAGUCUGAAUCAGCUUGUGUUAGUGGAACGGUCUGGAAAGUCCGACGGUACAGGGUGAUAGUCCCGUACACCAAAAUGCACAGGUUGUGAACUCGAAGAGUAGGGCGGGACACGUGGUAUCCUGUCUGAAUAUGGGGGGACCAUCCUCCAAGGCUAAAUACUCCUGACUGACCGAUAGUGAACCAGUACCGUGAGGAAAGGCGAAAAGAACCCCGGCGAGGGAGUGAAAAGAACCUGAAACCGUGUACGUACAAGCAGUGGGAGCACCUUCGGGUGUGACUGCGUACCUUUUGUAUAAUGGGUCAGCGACUUAUAUUCUGUAGCAAGGUUAACCGUAUAGGGGAGCCGCAGGGAAACCGAGUCUUAACUGGGCGUUAAGUUGCAGGGUAUAGACCCGAAACCCGGUGAUCUAGCCAUGGGCAGGUUGAAGGUUGGGUAACACUAACUGGAGGACCGAACCGACUAAUGUUGAAAAAUUAGCGGAUGACUUGUGGCUGGGGGUGAAAGGCCAAUCAAACCGGGAGAUAGCUGGUUCUCCCCGAAAGCUAUUUAGGUAGCGCCUCGUGAAUUCAUCUUCGGGGGUAGAGCACUGUUUCGGCUAGGGGGUCAUCCCGACUUACCAACCCGAUGCAAACUACGAAUACCGAAGAAUGUUAUCACGGGAGACACACGGCGGGUGCUAACGUCCGUCGUGAAGAGGGAAACAACCCAGACCGCCAGCUAAGGUCCCAAAGUCAUGGUUAAGUGGGAAACGAUGUGGGAAGGCACAGACAGCCAGGAUGUUGGCUUAGAAGCAGCCAUCAUUUAAAGAAAGCGUAAUAGCUCACUGGUCGAGUCGGCCUGCGCGGAAGAUGUAACGGGGCUAAACCAUGCACCGAAGCUGCGGCAGCGACGCUUAUGCGUUGUUGGGUAGGGGAGCGUUCUGUAAGCCUGCGAAGGUGGCCUGUGAGGGCUGCUGGAGGUAUCAGAAGUGCGAAUGCUGACAUAAGUAACGAUAAAGCGGGUGAAAAGCCCGCUCGCCGGAAGACCAAGGGUUCCUGUCCAACGUUAAUCGGGGCAGGGUGAGUCGACCCCCUAAGGCGAGGCCGAAAGGCGUAGUCGAUGGGAAACAGGUUAAUAUUCCUGUACUUGGUGUUACUGCGAAGGGGGGACGGAGAAGGCUAUGUUAGCCGGGCGACGGUUGUCCCGGUUUAAGCAUGUAGGCGGAGGUUCCAGGUAAAUCCGGUACCUUUUAACGCUGAGGUGUGAUGACGAGGCACUACGGUGCUGAAGUAACAAAUGCCCUGCUUCCAGGAAAAGCCUCUAAGCAUCAGGUAACAUUAAAUCGUACCCCAAACCGACACAGGUGGUCAGGUAGAGAAUACCAAGGCGCUUGAGAGAACUCGGGUGAAGGAACUAGGCAAAAUGGUGCCGUAACUUCGGGAGAAGGCACGCUGGUGUGUAGGUGAAGUCCCUGCGGAUGGAGCUGAGACCAGUCGAAGAUACCAGCUGGCUGCAACUGUUUAUUAAAAACACAGCACUGUGCAAACACGAAAGUGGACGUAUACGGUGUGACGCCUGCCCGGUGCCGGAAGGUUAAUUGAUGGGGUUAUCCGUAAGGAGAAGCUCUUGAUCGAAGCCCCGGUAAACGGCGGCCGUAACUAUAACGGUCCUAAGGUAGCGAAAUUCCUUGUCGGGUAAGUUCCGACCUGCACGAAUGGCGUAAUGAUGGCCAGGCUGUCUCCACCCGAGACUCAGUGAAAUUGAACUCGCUGUGAAGAUGCAGUGUACCCGCGGCAAGACGGAAAGACCCCGUGAACCUUUACUAUAGCUUGACACUGAACAUUGAGCCUUGAUGUGUAGGAUAGGUGGGAGGCUUUGAAGCGUGGACGCCAGUCUGCGUGGAGCCAACCUUGAAAUACCACCCUUUAAUGUUUGAUGUUCUAACGUUGGCCCCUUAUCGGGGUUGCGGACAGUGUCUGGUGGGUAGUUUGACUGGGGCGGUCUCCUCCCAAAGAGUAACGGAGGAGCACGAAGGUUAGCUAAUCCUGGUCGGACAUCAGGAGGUUAGUGCAAUGGCAUAAGCUAGCUUGACUGCGAGCGUGACGGCGCGAGCAGGUGCGAAAGCAGGUCAUAGUGAUCCGGUGGUUCUGAAUGGAAGGGCCAUCGCUCAACGGAUAAAAGGUACUCCGGGGAUAACAGGCUGAUACCGCCCAAGAGUUCAUAUCGACGGCGGUGUUUGGCACCUCGAUGUCGGCUCAUCACAUCCUUGGGGCUGAAGUAGGUCCCAAGGGUAUGGCUGUUCGCCAUUUAAAGUGGUACGCGAGCUGGGUUUAGAACGUCGUGAGACAGUUCGGUCCCUAUCUGCCGUGGGCGCUGGAGAAUUGAGGGGGGGGCUGCUCCUAGUACGAGAGGACCGGAGUGGACGCAUCACUGGUGUUCGGGUUGUCAUGCCAAUGGCACUGCCCGGUAGCUAAAUGCGGAAGAGAUAAGUGCUGAAAGCAUCUAAGCACGAAACUUGCCCCGAGAUGAGUUCUCCCUGAGACUAUAAGUCUCCUGAAGGAACGUUGAAGACGACGACGUUGAUAGGCCGGGUGUGUAAGCGCAGCGAUGCGUUGAGCUAACCGGUACUAAUGAACCGUGAGGCUUAACCUUACAACGCCGAAGCUGUU
This 2929-nucleotide ribosomal RNA is filed under the name Klebsiella variicola. Its description in RNAcentral is "bacterial LSU rRNA". It matches the Rfam family "Bacterial large subunit ribosomal RNA". The record is from RNAcentral. Lineage: Bacteria; Pseudomonadati; Pseudomonadota; Gammaproteobacteria; Enterobacterales; Enterobacteriaceae.